CCCUUAGAUGCUCUGGGCCGCACGCGCGCUACACUGGUCGAUGCAACGAGUUUCUUUCCUUGGCCGACAGGCCUGGGCAAUCUUUGAACAUCGAUCGUGAUCGGGAUAGAUUCUUGAAAUUUUUGAUCUUAAACGAGGAAUUCCUAGUAAACGCAAGUCAUCAGCUUGCAUUGAUUACGUCCCUGCCCUUUGUACACACCGCCCGUCGCACCUACCGAUUGAAUGGUCCGGUGAAAUCUCCGGACUGGCGUGAGUCGGAGCAAUCUGACAAACACCGGAAAGUUGAUUAAACCUUACCAUUUAGAGGAAGGUGAAGUCGUAACA
This 324-nucleotide ribosomal RNA is filed under the name uncultured eukaryote. Its description in RNAcentral is "partial 18S ribosomal RNA". It matches the Rfam family "Eukaryotic small subunit ribosomal RNA", at positions 1470 to 1796 of the family's 1831-position model. The record is from RNAcentral.